GACGAACGCUGGCGGCGUGCUUAACACGUGCAAGUCGAACGGAAAGGCCCUGCUUUUGUGGGGUGCUCGAGUGGCGAACGGGUGAGUAACACGUGAGUAACCUGCCCUUGACUUUGGGAUAACUUCAGGAAACUGGGGCUAAUACCGGAUAGGAGCUCCUGCUGCAUGGUGGGGGUUGGAAAGUUUCGGCGGUUGGGGAUGGACUCGCGGCUUAUCAGCUUGUUGGUGGGGUAGUGGCUUACCAAGGCUUUGACGGGUAGCCGGCCUGAGAGGGUGACCGGCCACAUUGGGACUGAGAUACGGCCCAGACUCCUACGGGAGGCAGCAGUGGGGAAUAUUGCACAAUGGGCGGAAGCCUGAUGCAGCAACGCCGCGUGCGGGAUGACGGCCCUCGGGUUGUAAACCGCUUUCGCCUGUGACGAAGCGUGAGUGACGGUAAUGGGUAAAGAAGCACCGGCUAACUACGUG
RNAcentral lists this ribosomal RNA (468 nucleotides) under uncultured bacterium. Its description in RNAcentral is "partial 16S ribosomal RNA". It matches the Rfam family "Bacterial small subunit ribosomal RNA", at positions 28 to 507 of the family's 1533-position model. The record is from RNAcentral.